UACGAGGUCGAGCGUUAACUACGGAUUACUGGGCGGGUAAAGCGGUGCGCAGGCGGUUUGUUAAGCGAGAUGUGAAAGCCCCCGGGCUCAACCUGGGAAUUGCAUUUCGAACUGGCGAACUAGAGUCUUGUAGAGGGGGUAGAAUUCCAGGUGUAGCGGUGAAAUGCGUAGAGAUCUGGAGGAAUACCGGUGGCGAAGGCGGCCCCCUGGACAAAGACUGACGCUCAGGCACGAAAGCGUGGGGAGCAAACAGGAUUAGAUACCCCGGUAGU
This 272-nucleotide ribosomal RNA is filed under the name uncultured bacterium. RNAcentral describes it as "partial 16S ribosomal RNA". It matches the Rfam family "Bacterial small subunit ribosomal RNA", at positions 524 to 794 of the family's 1533-position model. The record is from RNAcentral.